GCAGUGGUGGUUAACAGAUAGAACUCUUGCCUUCCAUGCAAGAGAACUGGGUUCAAUUCUGGGCUAAUGCA
This 71-nucleotide transfer RNA is filed under the name Loxodonta africana (African savanna elephant). It matches the Rfam family "tRNA". Rfam says of the family: Transfer RNA (tRNA) molecules are approximately 80 nucleotides in length. Their secondary structure includes four short double-helical elements and three loops (D, anti-codon, and T loops). The record is from Rfam by way of RNAcentral. Lineage: Eukaryota; Metazoa; Chordata; Mammalia; Proboscidea; Elephantidae.